AGAGUUUGAUCCUGGCUCAGAGCGAACGCUGGCGGCAUGCUUAACACAUGCAAGUCUCACGGGCAGCAAUGUCAGUGGCGGACGGGUGAGUAACGCGUAGGGAUCUAUCCUUGGGUGGGGGAUAACUGUGGGAAACUACAGCUAAUACCGCAUGAUACCUGUGGGUCAAAGGCGCGAGUCGCCUAAGGAGGAACCUGCGUACGAUUAGCUAGUUGGUGGGGUAAAGGCCUACCAAGGCGACGAUCGUUAGCUGGUCUGAGAGGAUGAUCGGCCACAUUGGGACUGAGACACGGCCCAAACUCCUACGGGAGGCAGCAGUGGGGAAUAUUGGACAAUGGGGGAAACCCUGAUCCAGCAAUGCCGCGUGUGUGAAGAAGGUCUUCGGAUUGUAAAGCACUUUCGACGGGGACGAUGAUGACGGUACCCGUAGAAGAAGCCCCGGCUAACUACGUGCCAGCAGCCGCGGUAAUACGUAGGAGACGAGCGUUGUCCGGAGUUACUGGGCGUAAAGGGUGCGCAGGCGGCUGGUCGCGUGUGCGGUGAAAUCUCCUGGCUUAACUGGGAGGGGGCCGUGCAAACGGGCUGGCUUGAGGCUCGGCGAGGGGCGUGGAAUUCCGGGUGGAGCGGUGAAAUGCGUAGAGAUCCGGAGGAACACCGACGGCGAAGGCAGCGCCCUGGACGAGACCUGACGCUCAGGCACGAAAGCUGGGGGAGCGAACAGGAUUAGAUACCCUGGUAGUCCCAGCUGUAAACGAUGUCCACCAGGUGCCGCGGGUAUCGACCCCUGCGGCGCCGCAGCUAACGUGAUGAGUGGACCGCCUGGGGAGUACGGCCGCAAGGUUAAAACUCAAAGGAAUUGACGG
RNAcentral lists this ribosomal RNA (863 nucleotides) under uncultured bacterium. RNAcentral describes it as "bacterial SSU rRNA". It matches the Rfam family "Bacterial small subunit ribosomal RNA", at positions 8 to 916 of the family's 1533-position model. The record is from RNAcentral.